GACGAACGCUGGCGGCGUGCUUAACACAUGCAAGUCGAGCGAGGUCCAACCGGUGGCAACACCGGGGAAGACCUAGCGGCGAACGGGUGAGUAACACGUGAGGAACCUGUCCCGAAGACCGGGAUAACACCGGGAAACCGGUGCUAAUACCGGAUACCCUUCUCUGGUCGCAUGGCCUAGGAAGGAAAUGGAUUCCGCUUCGGGAGGGUCUCGCGGGCUAUCAGCUUGUUGGUGGGGUAACGGCCUACCAAGGCGACGACGGCUAGCUGGUCUGAGAGGACGACCAGCCACACUGGGACUGAGACACGGCCCAGACUCCUACGGGAGGCAGCAGUGGGGAAUCUUGCGCAAUGGGCGAAAGCCUGACGCAGCAACGCCGCGUGGGGGAUGAAGGCCUUCGGGUUGUAAACCCCUUUCAGCAGGGACGAAACUGACGGUACCUGCAGAAGAAG
RNAcentral lists this ribosomal RNA (452 nucleotides) under uncultured bacterium. RNAcentral's name for it is "bacterial SSU rRNA". It matches the Rfam family "Bacterial small subunit ribosomal RNA", at positions 28 to 490 of the family's 1533-position model. The record is from RNAcentral.